GUGGGGAAUAUUGGACAAUGGGCGAAAGCCUGAUCCAGCCAUGCCGCGUGUGUGAAGAAGGUCUUCGGAUUGUAAAGCACUUUAAGUUGGGAGGAAGGGCAGUAAGCUAAUACCUUGCUGUUUUGACGUUACCGACAGAAUAAGCACCGGCUAACUUCGUGCCAGCAGCCGCGGUAAUACGAAGGGUGCAAGCGUUAAUCGGAAUUACUGUGCGUAAAGCGCGCGUAGGUGGUUUUGUAAGUUGAAGGUGAAAUCCCCGGGCUCAACCUGGGAACUGCCUCCAAAACUGCAUGACUAGAGUACGGUAGAGGGUAGUGGAAUUUCCUGUGUAGCGGUGAAAUGCGUAGAUAUAGGAAGGAACACCAGUGGCGAAGGCGACUACCUGGACUGAUACUGACACUGAGGUGCGAAAGCGUGGGGAGCAAACAGGAUUAGAAACCCCGGUAGUCC
RNAcentral lists this ribosomal RNA (450 nucleotides) under uncultured bacterium. Its description in RNAcentral is "bacterial SSU rRNA". It matches the Rfam family "Bacterial small subunit ribosomal RNA", at positions 354 to 796 of the family's 1533-position model. The record is from RNAcentral.